This is a long non-coding RNA of Camponotus floridanus (Florida carpenter ant), 450 nucleotides long. RefSeq lists it as uncharacterized. The transcript is spliced from 2 exons. NCBI's taxonomy places the organism in Eukaryota, Metazoa, Arthropoda, Insecta, Hymenoptera, Formicidae. The record is from RefSeq and is a predicted model, not a curated record.
UUGGCUAUGUACAUCGGGAGACUCAAUAUGUAAGAGGAGAAUAACGCGGGUACAGGAGAGAAAUAAUAUUUGGCUAUAGGCUUAAGGCAACCGUACACUUUACCACUGCACAGGCUGCGGCAUAUGGUACAUUUUCCUCGUAUGAUCGAGUGACUAGUGUCGUUUCGCUUAUCAAGGACUAACCCGAGUGAGGAAAACGACGAUGUAUUGGCAGAGCUGAGAGAGAACAGCCAUAGUUGGGAGUUCGAUAUCAAAAGUUGCUGAACUCGAAGGAAGGAAGCUCGAAAUAAACGAGCAUUAAAAUACAAUACGUGAAGGAAGAAGAAUUUCUGCCGUCGAUAGUAAAACGUAAUGAUCACAUGUAGACAGCUAGUGUAUAUAAACAUUAAUAUUAUUCUAAAAAAAGAUGGCGUAAAUGUAUGUCGUCGGAUAUAUCCAUUUUUUUUUUUA